Molecule: ribosomal RNA, 690 nt
Filed under: uncultured cyanobacterium
Lineage: Bacteria; Bacillati; Cyanobacteriota
Description: bacterial SSU rRNA
Rfam family: Bacterial small subunit ribosomal RNA
Source: RNAcentral
UACGCUGGCGGCGUGCUUACACCUGCAAGUCCAACGAACCUUCGGGUUAGUGGCGGACGGGUGAGUAACGCGUGAGAAUCUGCCCUCAGGAGGGGGAUAACGGCUGGAAACGGCCGCUAAUACCCCAUAUGCCGCGAGGGUGAAAUGAAUUUCGCCUGAGGAUGAGCUCGCGUCUGAGUUAGCUAGUUGGUGGGGUAAGAGCCUACCAAGGCAUCGAUCAGUAGCUGGUCUGAGAAGGGAUGAUCAGCCACAACUGGGGAACCUGAGUACACGGGCCCAGACUCCUACGGGAGGCAGCAGUGGGGAACUUUUACCUGCAAUGGGCGAAAGCCUGACGGAGCAACGCCGCGUGAGGGAUGAAGGCCUCUGGGCUGUAAACCUCUUUUAUCAAGGAAGAAGAUCUGACGGUACUUGAUGAAUAAGCCACGGCUAAUUCCGUGCCAGCAGCCGCGGUAAUACGGGAGUGGCAAGCGUUAUCCGGAAUUAUUGGGCGUAAAGCGUCCGCAGGCGGUUUUGUAAGUCUGUUGUUAAAGCGUGGAGCUUAACUCCAUUUGAGCAAUGGAAACUGCAAGACUAGAGUGUGGUAGGGGCAGAGGGAAUUCCCGGUGUAGCGGUGAAAUGCGUAGAUCUCGGGAAGAACACCAGUGGCGAAGGCGCUCUGCUGGGCCAUAACUGACCGCUCAUGGACGA